CCGGUCCCCAGCCCACCCCUUCCCGGACCGGACCUCUCCUGGUUGUUUACUCCCAGGCGCUCCCUCCUCGAGGUGCCCCGCUGUAACCUGCAGGCCUGCAGACAGACUCCAGACAGGGGCAGACGGUGUCUUGACUGGCAAAAAGGACCAAGACGAGAGGGACUUGGGCAGACAUAGGCUCCUGGUCACGUCCUGUGAUGAUGUGUUGCUGGGCUCACUCUUGCCAGUGAGGAUUGAAGUCUAAGGAACUCCACUUUACAGGGCCAUUUGGCCUGGAGUUGAGUUCUGCCCUCUCCAGCCCAGAAGUUCCUUGUGCUAUUGCCUCUUCUGCAUUCUUUCCUGAUGCCACCCAUGGCAAUACUUUGGUCUCAAGACUUGCUGCUGUGGGCUGCAGCAGGCCUUGUCCAGCUUGUGGCUCUCAGGCUCUCCUCCCCCACCACCACUCAAAGGGAAAUAAAUAGUCAAGUAGGAAAUGCAAUGACUAGAGCCUUCUCUUUUUUGCUUCUGGCCUCAUCCUACCUGGGCGUACACACAUACAUCUUGUACAUGCCCAGAAACAAGGAAGGAUCUUUGAGGAAAGGUGGGGUAGCAAUUCAGUUUGCUGGGAAACACUCUGGGACAGGGAAAGAUGGUCAAUUUGGGCCAAAGGGAGGCAGCACCAGGCUCUGGACAGGGCAGGACUUGGGCUGUUGCUGGAGGGCUUUGGAGGCCUGGGAGCCUUCUACCCCUCUCUGUGCUUUUGUGUACUCCUUCUUCUCCCUAAAAGGUAGAGGAAGGGACUGUGGUAGAACAAUGAAUGAGAUCUGUUUCAACUCUAGGAUGCUAUGACUCCAUCCUGCCUACCAUGAUGAGGAGCUUCUCUUGGGAACACCAUUUGUCCUGACUGGAGAUCUUGCAUUCUUGGGGUGCUGCUGCCUUUCCCAGGAUCCAGAAGCAUUCAGAACAGAACUAAUCAUAUGGUGGCCUUCUCUGCUGGACUUUGAAACACAGCCUUACUCUUGGCUUUUCAGAGACUCUCAAAAGGUCUCAGACUCCAGUUGGAGGUCUGGGUGACAGGUUGGGACAGAGGCAAGGUAGGUGACAUAAUUUGCAUGGCCUAGGGUAAAAUGAUAAUGCAAGUCCCCUUAUUCAAAAACCAAAAAUAAACAAUCAAAUAAAUGAACUCUACUGCAGAAUACUUUCUUUUUAAAAACAAGAAAAAAGUACCAUUAAAGUACUAAAAGACCAUAUUUUGCCAUAGUGCACACUUUUUUGCCCA
Long non-coding RNA from Phyllostomus discolor (pale spear-nosed bat), 1258 nucleotides. RefSeq lists it as uncharacterized. NCBI's taxonomy places the organism in Eukaryota, Metazoa, Chordata, Mammalia, Chiroptera, Phyllostomidae. The transcript has 4 exons. The record is from RefSeq and is a predicted model, not a curated record.